Small nuclear RNA from Phascolarctos cinereus (koala), 103 nucleotides. The record is from Ensembl. Lineage: Eukaryota; Metazoa; Chordata; Mammalia; Diprotodontia; Phascolarctidae.
UCACUUUGUCAGUGUUUAUGCUAAAAUUGGAAUGAUCCAGAGAAAAUAUCAUAACACUUGCACAAGGAUGACACACAAAUUAAUAGAGAGAGAAAGAGAGAGA